Molecule: long non-coding RNA, 525 nt
Filed under: Elaeis guineensis (African oil palm)
Lineage: Eukaryota; Viridiplantae; Streptophyta; Magnoliopsida; Arecales; Arecaceae
Description: long non-coding RNA (EGUI_LNC041946)
Source: RNAcentral
CUUUCAUACAAAGAAUUUAGAUCUCAAAUAUGAUUUUAGAAUCUGAAAUUCAUAUUUGUGCAUUAGAAUUUUGAUCAUAAAAAAAUCAACAAUUAGGUCAUGUAAUAAGAUUACAUCUAAGAUUUUUGAUUUGAGUCAUAUGGGUCUAAUUUGAUUAACUAAUUGGUCAAACCAAGUCAAGUAUUGAAUUGAAUUAGAUUAAUUAAAUUAAUGAUCAUACAAUUAUUAUUGAUCAAAUCAAUGAGUCUCAUAUGUAGAAUCGAUUAACCUAAGGACCUAAUUUGGCUCGUUAGUUUGAGCUCGAUUUGCUUUAGCUGACCAAUUUUGAUCAAUCGAUCUAUUAGUGUCUAAGAAAAGUUAAUGGGACAUGAUUAUUUAAUUGGUUCCGUUAGCCAACUUGAUCAAUUCAUUGGUGUCUAAGGAAGGCAACGGGAGGACCUCCACCGUUCUCCACUUAUCUGGCCAAUUUGGAAGAUUGAGUCUUGAAUUAGAUUGCUUAGCAGUUUGGUUUAGCCCAUGCUAGUU